This 589-nucleotide ribosomal RNA is filed under the name uncultured bacterium. Its description in RNAcentral is "bacterial SSU rRNA". It matches the Rfam family "Bacterial small subunit ribosomal RNA", at positions 809 to 1398 of the family's 1533-position model. The record is from RNAcentral.
AUGCCGACUUGGAGGUUGUGCCCUUGAGGCGUGGCUUCCGGAGCUAACGCGUUAAGUCGACCGCCUGGGGAGUACGGCCGCAAGGUUAAAACUCAAAUGAAUUGACGGGGGCCCGCACAAGCGGUGGAGCAUGUGGUUUAAUUCGAUGCAACGCGAAGAACCUUACCUGGUCUUGACAUCCACAGAACUUUCCAGAGAUGGAUUGGUGCCUUCGGGAACUGUGAGACAGGUGCUGCAUGGCUGUCGUCAGCUCGUGUUGUGAAAUGUUGGGUUAAGUCCCGCAACGAGCGCAACCCUUAUCCUUUGUUGCCAGCGGUCCGGCCGGGAACUCAAAGGAGACUGCCAGUGAUAAACUGGAGGAAGGUGGGGAUGACGUCAAGUCAUCAUGGCCCUUACGACCAGGGCUACACACGUGCUACAAUGGCGCAUACAAAGAGAAGCGACCUCGCGAGAGCAAGCGGACCUCAUAAAGUGCGUCGUAGUCCGGAUUGGAGUCUGCAACUCGACUCCAUGAAGUCGGAAUCGCUAGUAAUCGUGGAUCAGAAUGCCACGGUGAAUACGUUCCCGGGCCUUGUACACACCGCCCGUC